GUCUACAGCCAUGCCACCCUGAACAAACCCGAUCUCGUCUGAUCUCAGAAGCUAAGCAGGGUCGGGCCUGGUUAGUACUUGGGUGGGAGACCACCCAGGAAGACCAGGUGUUAUAGGCG
RNAcentral lists this ribosomal RNA (119 nucleotides) under Pteropus alecto (black flying fox). Lineage: Eukaryota; Metazoa; Chordata; Mammalia; Chiroptera; Pteropodidae. The record is from RNAcentral.